This is an RNA transcript of Vitis vinifera (wine grape), 6213 nucleotides long. It is a transcript of the gene named putative disease resistance RPP13-like protein 1, with no coding region annotated. The record is from RefSeq and is a predicted model, not a curated record. NCBI's taxonomy places the organism in Eukaryota, Viridiplantae, Streptophyta, Magnoliopsida, Vitales, Vitaceae. The transcript has 2 exons.
UGACUGGAACACACGGUCACUUUCCAUCGUUCAGACCGUCUGCACCCUCACUUCCAUGGAAUUCAAUGCCGUAUUCCCAAAUACUUUUCUUCUCAAGAGUUGCAGAGACUUCCCCUAAUCCUUUUUUAGCUACAAACUUUUCUUCUGAAGAAUAUCUAAUAUUCUUAAAGAUCUGUUGCAGAGAGUUCCCUUAAUCAAUCCCUUGUUACCUACAAGAAAAGAAAAAAAAAACAUGGCUGGUUUUGUUGGAGAAGCCGUUUUGUCUGGGUUCAUUCAGAAGUUGGUCGACAUGGUCGCCUCGCCGGAGCUGUGGAAGUACGCACGUGAAGAGCAAGUGGAUUCUGAACUGAACGAGUGGAAGAAAAUAUUGAUGAAGAUCUACGCAGUGCUCCAUGACGCGGAGGACAAGCAGAUGACAAACCCCCUGGUGAAGAUGUGGCUACACGACCUCAGAGACUUGGCUUAUGAUCUGGAGGACAUCUUGGACGACUUCGCCACCCAAGCUUUGCGACGCAACUUGAUCGUGGCUCAACCCCAACCGCCCACUGGUACCGUUCGGAGCAUUUUAUCUUAUGUGUCUACUAGUCUCACUUUGAGUGCUGCUUGGUCCAAUUUAAGUAUGGGUUCCAAGAUAGAGGAGAUCACUGCCAGAUUGCAAGAUAUUUCAGCCCAAAAAAAGCACCUGGAUUUAAGAGAUGUUUCUGCUGGUUGGUCUGGUAGAAAGAGACUACGGAGACUGCCAUCCACUUCUUUGGUGAUUGAAUCUCGUAUUUAUGGCAGGGAGACAGAUAAAGCUGCCAUACUUGCCAUGCUGCUCAAGGACGAUCCAAGUGAUGAUGAAGUCUGCGUGAUCCCUAUCGUCGGCAUGGGAGGUAUAGGCAAAACUACUCUUGCUCAACUUGCGUUUAAUGACGAUAAAGUGAAGGAUCAUUUUGAUUUGCGAGCUUGGGUCUGUGUUUCCGAUGAUUUUGAUGUUUUGAGGGUGACCAAAACUAUUCUGCAAUCACUUUCUCCACAUACACGUUAUGCCAACAAUCUUAAUUUGCUUCAGAUUGAGCUCAGGGAGAAACUUUACCGGAAGAAAUUUCUUCUUAUCUUGGACGACGUUUGGAAUGAGAAUUUUGAUGAAUGGGAUAUUUUGUGCAUGCCGAUGAGAGCCGGAGCGUCAGGUAGUAAGCUUAUUGUCACAACCCGUAAUAAAGGGGUUGUAUCUGUUACCGGAACUUGUUCAGCUUAUCCCCUUCAGGAGUUAUCAUAUGAUGAUUGUCUAUCUUUAUUCACCCGACAAGCAUUAGGGGCAAGAAACUUUGAUGCUUAUCCACACCUGAAAGAAGUUGGAGAGGAGAUAGUCAGAAGGUGCAAAGGCUUGCCUUUGGCAGCAAAGGCGCUUGGUGGCAUGUUGCGCAAUCAACUAAAUCGCAGAGCAUGGGAAGAUAUAUUAACAAGCAAGAUAUGGGAUCUCCCGGAGGAGAAAAGUCAUAUUCUUCCGGCUCUCAAGCUAAGCUACCAUCAUCUUCCUUCUCAUUUGAAGCGGUGUUUUGCUUAUUGCUCGAUAUUUCCAAAAGACUAUGAAUUCCACAAAGAUGAAUUAAUCCUAUUAUGGAUGGCAGAAGGUUUUCUGCAACAAACAAAGGGAGACAACCAGCCUGAGAAGUUAGGUUGUGAGUACUUUGAUGAUUUAUUCUCAAGGUCAUUUUUUCAACAGUCAACUCAAAAUUCAUCCCAAUUUUUAAUGCAUGAUCUUAUUAACGAUCUAGCUCAAUCUAUUUCCGGAGACAUAUGCUAUAAUUUUGAUGAUGAGUUAGAGAAUAAUAAGCAAUCCACGGCUGUUUCAGAGAAGGCUCGUCAUUUGUCAUUCAAUCGUCAACGUUACGAGAUGAUGAGAAAAUUCGAAGCGUUUCAUAAGGCUAAGUGUUUGCGGACGUUAGUUGCUUUGCCACUCACUACAUUUUCUACAUAUUUCAUUUCAAGUAAGGUGCUAGAUGACCUUUUAAAAGAAAUGAAAUGUUUGCGGGUAUUGUCAUUAAGCGGUUAUUUCAUAAGUGAGAUGUUACCAAAUUCCAUAGGCGGUUUGAAACAUCUGCGCUAUUUGAAUUUAUCUGAUUCUUUGAUGAAUAGGUUACCCGAUUCAGUGGGUCAUCUUUAUAAUUUGCAAACACUGAUAUUACGCAAUUGCUAUAGACUUGUUGAGUUGCCUAUGGGAAUUGGAGGCCUCAUCAACCUUCGACAUGUUGAUAUUUCUGGUGCAGUUCAACUACAGGAGAUGCCCCCUCAAAUGGGAAACUUAACCAAUUUGCAAACAUUAUCCGACUUUAUUGUGGGCAAAGGUAGCAGGUCGGGUGUCAAAGAAUUAAAGAAUUUGCUGGGUCUCCAAGGAAAGCUUUCUAUUUCAGGGUUGCAUAAUGUGGUAGAUAUUCAAGAUGCAAGGAGUGUUAAUUUACAGAAGAAGCAGAACAUCAAAGAGUUAACACUGAAAUGGAGCAGUGAUUUUGGUGAAUCAAGAAAUAAAAUGAAUGAGAGGCUUGUUUUAGAGUGGCUACAACCUCAUAGAAAUCUGGAAAAGCUCACCAUUGCAUUCUAUGGUGGACCAAACUUUCCAAGUUGGAUAAAGAAUCCCUCAUUCCCUUUAAUGACACACUUGGUUCUCAAGAAUUGCAAGAUAUGCACAUCGUUACCGGCUCUCGGCCAAUUAUCCUUACUCAAAAACUUGCAUAUCGAAGGGAUGAGUGAAGUUAGAACCAUAGAUGAGGACUUUUAUGGAGGGAUUGUCAAGUCUUUUCCAUCCUUGGAGUUUCUGAAGUUUGAAAAUAUGCCAACAUGGAAAGAUUGGUUUUUUCCAGAUGCAGAUGAACAAGUGGGACCAUUUCCAUUCCUUCGAGAACUUACAAUAAGGAGAUGCUCAAAGCUAGGUAUACAGUUGCCUGAUUGCCUACCUUCUCUGGUUAAACUUGAUAUCUUUGGGUGUCCAAAUUUGAAAGUUCCCUUUUCAGGAUUUGCAUCUCUUGGUGAAUUAAGUUUAGAAGAAUGUGAAGGGGUGGUGUUCAGAAGUGGGGUUGGUAGUUGUCUUGAAACAUUAGCUAUUGGACGGUGUCACUGGCUUGUAACGUUGGAGGAGCAAAUGCUACCUUGCAAACUUAAAAUUUUGAAAAUACAAGACUGUGCUAACCUGGAGGAGCUGCCAAACGGAUUGCAAAGUCUCAUAUCUCUCCAAGAGUUGAAAUUAGAGAGGUGCCCCAAACUGAUUUCAUUUCCAGAGGCCGCUUUGUCACCCUUGCUCAGAUCUCUGGUGCUGCAGAACUGCCCAUCUCUCAUAUGCUUUCCAAAUGGUGAGCUGCCCACCACGCUCAAGCAUAUGAGGGUUGAAGAUUGUGAAAAUUUGGAGUCUCUACCAGAGGGAAUGAUGCACCACAAGUCCUCUUCCACUGUAAGCAAAAACACUUGUUGCCUUGAAAAAUUGUGGAUAAAGAAUUGUGCCUCUCUCAAGUUCUUUCCGACAGGAGAGUUACCCUCCACCCUUGAGCUCCUUUGUAUUUGGGGAUGCGCAAACUUGGAGUCAAUAUCAGAGAAAAUGUUACCCAAUGGCACAGCUCUUGAAUAUUUAGACAUAAGGGGCUAUCCAAAUCUGAAAAUCCUACCAGAAUGCCUUACAAGCCUCAAGGAGCUCCACAUAGACGAUUGUGGAGGUCAGGAGUGUUUUCCAAAAAGAGGGUUGUCAACCCCCAACCUCAUGCACCUUCGUAUUUGGAGAUGUGUGAAUCUCAGGUCCCUUCCACAGCAAAUGAAAAACCUCACAUCUGUUCACACUCUCAGCAUAUGGGGUUGUCCAGGAGUGGAAUCCUUUCCAGAAGGGGGUUUGCCCCCCAAUCUAACAUCACUUUACGUUGGAUUGUGUCAGAAUCUGAAAACACCCAUAUCUGAAUGGGGACUCCUUACCCUCACCUCUCUUUCUGAAUUGUCCAUUUGUGGAGUGUUUCCCAAUAUGGCUUCUUUUUCGGAUGAAGAGUGUCUGCUUCCUCCAUCUCUGACCUAUCUUUUCAUCAGUGAACUGGAAUCUUUAACCUCCCUGGCUCUCCAAAAUCCGAUGUCUCUUACUGAACUAGGUAUUGAGUGUUGCUGCAAGCUCAGUUCCUUGGAGUUGCCUGCAACACUUGGAAGACUUGAAAUCACUGGUUGUCCUAUUAUAAAAGAAAGCUGCUUAAAGGAGAAGGGAGGAUACUGGCCCAACUUCUCCCACAUCCCCUGCAUUCAAAUAGAUGGCUCAUACAUCCAUUGAAAGAUAGCAGACUCAGAUUGAAAUACAUUUUUCUCUUGUCAUGUCACUAAGUCUUUGAUGGUAUUUCAAGAAAUUGUUCAUUGUUGCUCACUUCAAAUUUCUAUCCAAACAUCACUCAUUCAACCACAGAGUGCCAUUAUGAACUGAAGCUAUGUAUAAACUAUCUUGAACGAGCUCAUUUUGAUUGAUAAUGUUAGUGUAGUUCUUGCUAAUUCUUUUCUUUCUAAUGUGACUGCCAAUUUUCAUUCUAAAUUCAUGGGGUUCUGGCUUGACAAGGAUGUUGCAGAGGUAAACAGGUAUGUCUCCCUGUUCAGAAUAUGUGGCUUCCCAUUUCAUUGGCCCCAUAUUGGUUUGGCCUUCAGAAAAUAAAUGAAAUUUCUUCUCAACAUGUAGGAUGAAAAAAAGAUGGUGAAUUUCUAUGACUGGUGCAAUUGAUUUUUAAUUUCUCACAAGAUUUUUCAUUGAUGUUUCAUUUAGAGGUGGAUAUCGACUGUAGUUAUGGCUUGGCAUUCUCUCUUUGCUUUUCAUGCUGCUCUUAAUCCUCUGUUUCACACAAACAGAGUCAUUUUUCUAGAUGAAGUAACGUUGGCAUUCUGUUGUUUUUGCAGUGUGAUUAACCCUAAUUUUACACAUAUACAGUCCCAUCCACAGAUCCAUGAAUUGUACUACAGGUUUAUUUGUGCAAGGUUAUACUGCUUUUGUUUUGAGUUCAAGCCAGUCUUAAGAAGAUUGGAAAGGGCAUUAAACAAACCUUCUGGCUGACUCUGGAUGUAUACUGUAGUAUCUUAAGAAAGGUGCCUACAUAUUUAUUGAUCACCUAAUCUCUGGUCCUUGGGCUGCCUGCAAUACUUAAAAGGCUUAGCACAGGUUGUCCUAUUCUAAAAGAAAUGUGCUUAUAAGAGAACUACAUUGCCCACAUCCCCUUUAUUGAUAUAGAUAUUAGAUAUAUCCAUUUACUGUCCCAGCCAUAUCCUCUCCUUGCUUCCAAUCAGGCACGGGCUUUCAUAUCAUAAAUAUUAGCAAUUUUCUUCAAACUCUACUUUCCCUACUCAAAAUAACAAAAGCAGAGACCACUCUUACUUAUUUUAAAUUGGGUAUGUUUUGCCAUGAUGUAGGUUUUGACAAAGGAAAGGGCUGCCUGCAACACUCCCAAUGCUUGAAUCAGGAAAUUUCAUAUUCUAAAAACUGAUGGUAAGAGGACGUGGGGAGAUUGCAUCUUUUGUAGGAGAGCAGGUUUGGAUUAGAAUGCCUCAGUGGUCUUGUAAGUCUGGAGAUCUGGUAGUGGAAUGGACUUGUACCCUUUGGACUUUGGAGCAGCAGGGCGGCUUGGCAAUCUUAAAUAUUUGCAAUUGGAAGACUGGGCUAACCAGAAAAAGCAGAAGACUGCAGUUUAGCCUCCAACCUUACAUCACUUUAUAUGGGAGAUCAUGUGAAUCUGAAGCUACCAUUAUCUGAGUAGGGCCUCCACAGGCUCACUUCUCUUUCAUCAUUUGUACAUUUCUGGUGUAUGUCCAGCUCUGGCUUCUCUAUCGGAUGAUGACUAUCUUUUUCCCACAACUCUGAGCAAAUUUUUUAUUCGUAAACUGGAUUCCAUCGCAUCUGUGGCUUUCAAAAACCUGCGUUCUCUUGAAACUAUAUCCAUCUAUAGGUGUCCUAAGCUCUGGUCCAAAGGGUUGACUGAAAAACUUUCGAGGCAUGACCUCAAUACUACGUGAUUACCUGCUUUCUUCAAGACCAUUUUGAGUAAGCAUGAUAAGUUAGUGCUUCAUUUUUUCUUUUAAUUUCUUCUUUCAGGUAAGAAGAGAAGAAUGAUGAAGUAAUUCAAUGCCAACAUUGAAGUGUAUGUCAAGCAUGAAUAUGUUACUUUUCAGUUAUAUAUUGAUUCUUUUUUCUUUUUUUUCAAUUUUCUUAUCUCAAGUAAAUUUUCUUUCUGCACCAAA